CCACCCAGAUCUUCGGCCAUCACCGUAAGCCUCCACUCACUACCCGACUAUCAGAAUCGGAAUCGCUACUGAUUCGGUUUUGAUUAAGGGAUACGGAGAUAGAAGAAGCAAGCAGAGUUUGUAGGCGCCAAGAGAGAA
Molecule: long non-coding RNA, 138 nt
Organism: Quercus lobata
Lineage: Eukaryota; Viridiplantae; Streptophyta; Magnoliopsida; Fagales; Fagaceae
Exons: 2
Source: RefSeq, a predicted model, not a curated record